RNAcentral lists this transfer RNA (79 nucleotides) under Cordylochernes scorpioides. RNAcentral describes it as "tRNA-Ser". Lineage: Eukaryota; Metazoa; Arthropoda; Arachnida; Pseudoscorpiones; Chernetidae. The record is from RNAcentral.
UGUCCAGGGAUGGGAAACGAACCCACAAUGUUCCGCUUAGCGGGCAGAUGCCAUAUCCACUAGGCUAUUUGUUCUUGCC